GCAUGGCUGUCUAAGCAUGCGAGUCAUUGUAGCAAUACAAGGCAGACGGCUCAGUAACGCGUAGUCAAUCUACCCUAUGGACGGGAAUAACCUCGGGAAACUGAGAAUAAUGCCCGAUAGAACAUUAUACCUGGAACGGUUUAUGUUUCAAAUGAUUUAUCGCCGUAGGAUGGGACUGCGGCCUAUCAGUUUGUUGGUGAGGUAAUGGCCCACCAAGACUAUUACAGGUACGGGCUCUGAGAGGAGUAGCCCGGAGAUGGGUACUGAGACACGGACCCAGGCCCUAUGGGGCGCAGCAGGCGAGAAAACUUUGCAAUGUGCGAAAGCACGACAAGGUUAAUCCGAGUGGUUUCUGCUAAAGAAACCUUUUGCCAGUCCUAGAAACACUGGUGAAUAAGGGGUGGGCAAGUUCUGGUGUCAGCCGCCGCGGUAAAACCAGCACCUCAAGUGGUCAGGAUGAUUAUUGGGCCUAAAGCAUCCGUAGCUCGUUUUGUAUGUUUUCGGUUAAAUCCAUACGCUCAACGUAUGGGCUGCCGGGAAUACUGCAUGACUAGGAAGUGGGAGAGGUAGACGGUACUCGAUAGGAAGGGGUAAAAUCCUUUGAUCUAUUGAUGACCACCUGUGGCGAAGGCGGUCUACCAGAACACGUUCGACGGUGAGGGAUGAAAGCUGGGGGAGCAAACCGGAUUAGAUACCCGGGUAGUCCCAGCUGUAAACUAUGCAAACUCAGUGAUGCAUUGGCUUGUGGCCAAUGCAGUGCUGCAGGGAAGCCGUUAAGUUUGCCGCCUGGGAAGUACGUACGCAAGUAUGAAACUUAAAGGAAUUGGCGGGGGAGCACCACAAGGGGUGAAGCCUGCGGUUCAAUUGGAGUCAACGCCGGG
Molecule: ribosomal RNA, 881 nt
Filed under: uncultured archaeon
Lineage: Archaea
Description: bacterial SSU rRNA
Rfam family: Archaeal small subunit ribosomal RNA
Source: RNAcentral